RNAcentral lists this transfer RNA (93 nucleotides) under Puniceicoccales bacterium. RNAcentral describes it as "tRNA-Ser". It matches the Rfam family "tRNA". Rfam says of the family: Transfer RNA (tRNA) molecules are approximately 80 nucleotides in length. Their secondary structure includes four short double-helical elements and three loops (D, anti-codon, and T loops). Lineage: Bacteria; Pseudomonadati; Verrucomicrobiota; Opitutia; Puniceicoccales. The record is from RNAcentral.
GGAGAAAUGGCUGAGUGGUCGAAAGCGCCUUCCUGCUAAGAAGGUGAUCUCGUAAAAAGGGAUCCGAGGGUUCAAAUCCCUCUUUCUCCGCCA